GGAGAGGUGGCCGAGCGGUCGAAGGCGCUUGCUUGGAAAGCAAGUGUACGGUAACCCCGUACCGCGGGUUCGAAUCCCGCCCUCUCCGCCA
This 91-nucleotide transfer RNA is filed under the name Gammaproteobacteria bacterium. RNAcentral's name for it is "tRNA-Ser". It matches the Rfam family "tRNA". Rfam says of the family: Transfer RNA (tRNA) molecules are approximately 80 nucleotides in length. The record is from RNAcentral. RNAcentral also lists the same sequence under 7 other names. Lineage: Bacteria; Pseudomonadati; Pseudomonadota; Gammaproteobacteria.